Molecule: ribosomal RNA, 459 nt
Filed under: uncultured bacterium
Lineage: Bacteria
Description: partial 16S ribosomal RNA
Rfam family: Bacterial small subunit ribosomal RNA
Source: RNAcentral
CCUACGGGCGGCAGCAGUGAGGAAUAUUGGUCAAUGGCCGCAGGGCUGAACCAGCCAAGCCGCGUGAGGGAUGACGGUCCUACGGAUUGUAAACCUCUUUUGUCAGGGAGCAAAGGGCGCCACGAGUGGCGUUUUGCGAGUACCUGAAGAAAAAGCAUCGGCUAACUCCGUGCCAGCAGCCGCGGUAAUACGGGGGAUGCGAGCGUUAUCCGGAUUUAUUGGGUUAAAAGGGUGCGCAGGCGGAAUGUCAAGUCAGCGGUAAAAUUUCGGGGCUCAACCCCGUCGAGCCGUUGAAACUGGCGUUCUUGAGGUGGCGAGAAGGAUGCGGAAUGCGUGGUGUAGCGGUGAAAUGCAUAGAUAUCGCGCAGAACUCCGAUUGCGAAGGCAGCAUACCGGCGCUAAACUGACGCUCAGGCACGAAAGCGUGGGUAUCGAACAGGAUUAGAUACCCUUGUAGUC